Molecule: ribosomal RNA, 399 nt
Filed under: uncultured bacterium
Lineage: Bacteria
Description: bacterial SSU rRNA
Rfam family: Bacterial small subunit ribosomal RNA
Source: RNAcentral
UGAGGAAUAUUGGUCAAUGGGCGAGAGCCUGAACCAGCCAAGUAGCGUGAAGGAUGACUGCCCUAUGGGUUGUAAACUUCUUUUAUAAGGGAAUAAAGUGGAGUAUGUAUACUCCUUUGUAUGUACCUUACGAAUAAGGAUCGGCUAACUCCGUGCCAGCAGCCGCGGUAAUACGGAGGAUCCGAGCGUUAUCCGGAUUUAUUGGGUUUAAAGGGAGCGUAGGCGGAUGUUUAAGUCAGUUGUGAAAGUUUAAGGCUCAACCUUGAAAUUGCAGUUGAUACUGGAUAUCUUGAGUACAUUGAAUGUGGGCGGAAUUCGUGGUGUAGCGGUGAAAUGCUUAGAUAUCACGAAGAACUCCAAUUGCGAAGGCAGCUCACAGUAAUGUAACUGACGCUGAUG